UGGCUGUGAUGAAUAUGUGCCUUAGUGUCAGCGGGUCUGUCACAACUUCUGAAAUUGCACGAAGAAGAAAAUCGGCACUUCUGAGCUU
Small nucleolar RNA from Andrographis paniculata, 88 nucleotides. RefSeq annotates it as small nucleolar RNA snoR114. The transcript has a single exon. The record is from RefSeq and is a predicted model, not a curated record. Lineage: Eukaryota; Viridiplantae; Streptophyta; Magnoliopsida; Lamiales; Acanthaceae.